UACGUAGGGUGCAAGCGUUGUCCGGAAUUAUUGGGCGUAAAGAGCUUGUAGGCGGUUUGUCGCGUCUGCUGUGAAAUUUCGGGGCUCAACCCCGAACUUGCAGUGGGUACGGGCAGACUAGAGUGUGGUAGGGGAGACUGGAAUUCCUGGUGUAGCGGUGGAAUGCGCAGAUAUCAGGAGGAACACCGAUGGCGAAGGCAGGUCUCUGGGCCGCAACUGACACUGAGGAGCGAAAGCAUGGGGAGCGAACAGG
RNAcentral lists this ribosomal RNA (253 nucleotides) under uncultured bacterium. Its description in RNAcentral is "partial 16S ribosomal RNA". It matches the Rfam family "Bacterial small subunit ribosomal RNA", at positions 524 to 776 of the family's 1533-position model. The record is from RNAcentral.